GGGACUGAAAGCUGCGAGCUGGAGGACAGACAGAUGCAGCGCUGCAUCACUUUAAUCCUCUUUACCCAGCCACGUGUGGAGAGAGAGACAGAGAGACAGACAGAGACAAACAAAUUCCACUCAGAGUAAACAUGCUAAGGUGCAAGAGGUGAGGAACGCUCUCGCGCACACACACACACACACACACACACACACACAUACACACACACACACACAGCCUUUGAACUAUGUAAAGAGGCAUAAUGCACAUCCUAUUAAUGAUUAAUCAGUCCUGGUUCAAAAUAAACAUUCACUUUAUGCUUGUCAAGACAGAGAGACCAUGUAUGAGGAAGGAAGGAAGAAAGAAAGAAAGAAAGAAAGAAAGAAAGAAAGAAAGAAAGAAAGAAAGAAAGAAAGAAAGAAAGAAAGAAAGAAAGAAAGAAAGAAGGAAGGAAAGAAAAUAUUUCCAAAUGGAGUUCCCAUUUACAAGCAUUAUUCGACUGGCAGACCGCAACUCUGCAGACCGCAGAGUUAAAAAUCAUCAUUUGUGUUCUGCUGAAGAAACAGUCACCUACAUCUUGGAUGCCCUGGGGUGACCUUCAGUGUGACCUCAGAUGACCACCACCUCAUCCUCAAACUCCAACUUUCUCCCAGAGUCUGGAGAGUUCUGCGAUCAGCUGUGCUGAAGGUCUCGCUAGAGGAAGACAAUUCCAUCAAACCAGAAGAAAAAAGCACUCAGGGUAUCUGUGAUAGUCACAUAAAAGAACAUCGGCCUGCGAAGAGAAGAGACACAUUGUUAUUGAUACAACAGAAGACAGAUAAUGUGAAAAAGAAAGGUUGGAAACACUGAGUUAUUGAUUUCUACUGUAACCAACCACAGAUCAGCAGCAUUCACCAGAGAUUACUCGACUAAAAGAUUAUACAUUUAGAACAUAUUAAAUUCUUCAGCCAUUAGUUUAUGUGUGUUAAAAUAUGCUCACUGACAAAAUCUGAGCACUUAAAAAAAGGGUUCAAUUUGUUAAUAUUAGUUAAUUCGCUGUAAAAAAAUAUUGUUGGUUUAACUUAAAAAAGUAAGUAACCUGGCUGCCUUAAAAUUUUUAGUUCAUUUAAACUAAAAAUUUGAGUUAAU
Molecule: long non-coding RNA, 1108 nt
Organism: Ctenopharyngodon idella (grass carp)
Lineage: Eukaryota; Metazoa; Chordata; Actinopteri; Cypriniformes; Xenocyprididae
Exons: 3
Source: RefSeq, a predicted model, not a curated record